This is a long non-coding RNA of Xiphophorus hellerii (green swordtail), 646 nucleotides long. RefSeq lists it as uncharacterized. The record is from RefSeq and is a predicted model, not a curated record. The transcript is spliced from 3 exons. Lineage: Eukaryota; Metazoa; Chordata; Actinopteri; Cyprinodontiformes; Poeciliidae.
UUUUUUUUUUGUAUGUCUGCAAAUCUUUUUUAUUGAUUUAAUCAGUAAGUUCAAGUAACCAUCAAAACCAAAUGUGCUUGCUUUUGUACAGUGCAGGUUGUUUCAGAAAGACAGAAGACUUGAUGGUGUGGAGCGCCUGCAGUUUCACUGGCCUUGUCUGAUCACACAAGAGUGUAUGAUCACAGAAUGGAUGACCUGAGUGAUUUCCUGAGGCAAAGGAAUAUUCCAGAGGAAACUAUCGAGACCAUGCUGAGAGAGAAGAUUGAUACCAACGUCAUCCAGCUCAUGACAGAUGAAGAGCUAAAGAAUUAUUUGCCAUCAUAUGGAGACCGCAUAGCCCUAUCAGGAUACUGUAAAAGGAAGGAAAAUGGCCCCCCCAAGCAGUCGCAAAUCAAAACUGUUUGAGCGCCUGAAAUCAAAGCUGGGUAAAAGAAAAACUGCUCAUGAAGAUGGCUGUGGUAUGGAAAAAGAAGAGCAAUCUGAAACAACUGUAAAGAAGAAUGCUCUGAAGUCAAAGAGAAAAAUAGAAAUAGGCUGGCUGCUUUAUGAUGAAGAACAACAGGCUUUUAAACAAGUAAGAGCAAGAAGAGGUGGUGGAACAAGGAAGGUCGAUGUAUCAAAGGAUGCUAAAAAAAGUGAGAUAAUC